Molecule: non-coding RNA, 69 nt
Organism: Podarcis lilfordi (Lilford's wall lizard)
Lineage: Eukaryota; Metazoa; Chordata; Lepidosauria; Squamata; Lacertidae
Source: the annotation of a GenBank genome assembly
GGCCUUAGCUCAGUGGCAGAGCAUCUUCUUUGAUGCAGAACGUACCAGGUUCAAUCCCUGGCAUCUCCA